Molecule: transfer RNA, 76 nt
Filed under: Candidatus Bipolaricaulota bacterium
Lineage: Bacteria; Candidatus Bipolaricaulota
Description: tRNA-Thr
Rfam family: tRNA
About the family: Transfer RNA (tRNA) molecules are approximately 80 nucleotides in length. Their secondary structure includes four short double-helical elements and three loops (D, anti-codon, and T loops). Further hydrogen bonds mediate the characteristic L-shaped molecular structure. tRNAs have two regions of fundamental functional importance: the anti-codon, which is responsible for specific mRNA codon recognition, and the 3' end, to which the tRNAs corresponding amino acid is attached (by aminoacyl-tRNA synthetases). tRNAs cope with the degeneracy of the genetic code in two manners: having more than one tRNA (with a specific anti-codon) for a particular amino acid; and 'wobble' base-pairing, i.e. permitting non-standard base-pairing at the 3rd anti-codon position.
Source: RNAcentral
GCCCGUGUAGCUCAGUCGGCAGAGCGUCCCGCUGGUAAUGGGAAGGUCGCCGGUUCGACUCCGGCCGCGGGCUCCA